CCUACGGGACGCAGCAGUGGGGAAUAUUGCACAAUGGGGGAAACCCUGAUGCAGCGACGCCGCGUGAGUGAAGAAGUAUUUCGGUACGUAAAGCUCUAUCAGCAGGGAAGAAAAAAAGUCCUUUGGACUUUGGACGGUACCUGACCAAGAAGCCCCGGCUAACUACGUGCCAGCAGCCGCGGUAAUACGUAGGGGGCAAGCGUUAUCCGGAUUUACUGGGUGUAAAGGGAGCGUAGACGGCAGCGCAAGUCUGGAGUGAAAUGCCGGGGCCCAACCCCGGAACUGCUUUGGAAACUGUGCAGCUG
RNAcentral lists this ribosomal RNA (305 nucleotides) under uncultured bacterium. RNAcentral describes it as "bacterial SSU rRNA". It matches the Rfam family "Bacterial small subunit ribosomal RNA", at positions 338 to 643 of the family's 1533-position model. The record is from RNAcentral.